ACCUGGCGCAGGUGAGCCCGGCGUCGCCGCUGGAGCCGAAAACCCCGGGCCCGGUGAGGGAUGGGCAGGUCCCCUCACCUGCCGGCCCCGCCGAGGCUGUGCCCCCUCACCUGGCGCUCACCUGGGCACGGCACCGCCGGCACAGCCCCCACUUCCCCCUCUGCUCCUUCUGCUGCGGCUGCUGCCGGAACCGCGGCUGCGGCUUCUGCUGCCGCACCUGAGCGCACCUGACUGCACCUGGGCACACCUGGGCACGGCUGAGACUCACCUGAGCACACCUGGGCACAGCUGGGCACACCUGAGUGCA
This is a non-coding RNA of Taeniopygia guttata (zebra finch), 307 nucleotides long. The record is from RefSeq and is a predicted model, not a curated record. Lineage: Eukaryota; Metazoa; Chordata; Aves; Passeriformes; Estrildidae.